Molecule: ribosomal RNA, 431 nt
Filed under: uncultured bacterium
Lineage: Bacteria
Description: bacterial SSU rRNA
Rfam family: Bacterial small subunit ribosomal RNA
Source: RNAcentral
UCGAGGAUCUUCGGCAAUGGGCGCAAGCCUGACCGAGCGACGCCGCGUGUGCGAUGAAGGCCUUCGGGUUGUAAAGCACUGUCGAGGGGGAGGAAGCCGCAAGGUUGACCUAUCCCUGGAGGAAGCACGGGCUAAGUUCGUGCCAGCAGCCGCGGUAAGACGAACCGUGCGAACGUUGUUCGGAAUCACUGGGCUUAAAGGGCGCGUAGGCGGACCAUCAAGUCCGGGGUGAAAUCUUUCGGCUUAACCGGAAAACAGCCUUGGAUACUGGUGGUCUCGAGCGAGGUAGGGGCCGUUGGAACUUCCGGUGGAGCGGUGAAAUGCGUUGAUAUCGGAAGGAACGCCGGUGGCGAAAGCGAACGGCUGGACCUCUUCUGACGCUGAGGCGCGAAAGCCAGGGGAGCAAACGGGAUUAGAUACCCCUGUAGUCC